GACGAACGCUGGCGGCGUGCUUAACACAUGCAUGUCGAACGGAAAGGCCCUGCUUUUGUGGGGUGCUCGAGUGGCGAACGGGUGAGUAACACGUGAGUAACCUGCCCUUGACUUUGGGAUAACUUCAGGAAACUGGGGCUAAUACCGGAUAGGAGCUCCUGCUGCAUGGUGGGGGUUGGAAAGUUUCGGCGGUUGGGGAUGGACUCGCGGCUUAUCAGCUUGUUGGUGGGGUAGUGGCUUACCAAGGCUUUGACGGGUAGCCGGCCUGAGAGGGUGACCGGCCACAUUGGGACUGAGAUACGGCCCAGACUCCUACGGGAGGCAGCAGUGGGGAAUAUUGCACAAUGGGCGGAAGCCUGAUGCAGCAACGCCGCGUGCGGGAUGACGGCCUUCGGGUUGUAAACCGCUUUCGCCUGUGACGAGGCGUGAGUGACGGUAAUGGGUAAAGAAGCACCGGCUAACUACGUGCCAGCAGCCGCGGUGAUACGUAGGGUGCGAGCGUUGUCCGGAUUUAUUGGGCGUAAAGGGCUCGUAGGUGGUUGAUCGCGUCGGAAGUGUAAUCUUGGGGCUUAACCCUGAGCGUGCUUUCGAUACGGGUUGACUUGAGGAAGGUAGGGGAGAAUGGAAUUCCUGGUGGAGCGGUGGAAUGCGCAGAUAUCAGGAGGAACACCAGUGGCGAAGGCGGUUCUCUGGGCCUUUCCUGACGCUGAGGAGCGAAAGCGUGGGGAGCGAACAGGCUUAGAUACCCUGGUAGUCCACGCUGUAAACGGUGGGUACUAGGUGUGGGGUCCAUUCCACGGGUUCCGUGCCGUAGCUAACGCUUUAAGUACCCCGCCUGGGGAGUACGGCCGCAAGGCUAAAACUCAAAGGAAUUGACGGGGCCCCGCACAAGCGGCGGAGCAUGCGGAUUAAUUCGAUGCAACGCGUAGAACCUUACCUGGGUUUGACAUGGAUCGGGAGUGCUCAGAGAUGGGUGUGCCUCUUUUGGGGUCGGUUCACAGGUGGUGCAUGCCUGUCGUCAGCUCGUGUCGUGAGAUGUUGGGUUAAGUCCCGCAACGAGCGCAACCCUUGUUCACUGUUGCCAGCACGUUAUGGUGGGGACUCAGUGGAGACCGCCGGGGUCAACUCGGAGGAAGGUGGGGAUGACGUCAAGUCCUCAUGCCCCUUAUGUCCAGGGCUUCACGCAUGCUACAAUGGCUGGUACAGAGAGUGGCGAGCCUGUGAGGGUGAGCGAAUCUCGGAAAGCCGGUCUCAGUUCGGAUUGGGGUCUGCAACUCGACCUCAUGAAGUCGGAGUCGCUAGUAAUCGCAGAUCAGCAACGCUGCGGUGAAUACGUUCCCGGGGCU
This 1346-nucleotide ribosomal RNA is filed under the name uncultured bacterium. RNAcentral describes it as "bacterial SSU rRNA". It matches the Rfam family "Bacterial small subunit ribosomal RNA", at positions 28 to 1381 of the family's 1533-position model. The record is from RNAcentral.